Molecule: long non-coding RNA, 638 nt
Organism: Brassica napus (rape)
Lineage: Eukaryota; Viridiplantae; Streptophyta; Magnoliopsida; Brassicales; Brassicaceae
Exons: 3
Source: RefSeq, a predicted model, not a curated record
AUAUAUAUAUAUAUUAUUUAUAUACUUCCGUAUGAUACAUCUCCUCUUGGUAAAAGCUAUAAAGAUAUAUAUACCUUUACGACUUGCCAUCUUUUUCCCAGAUUCGGGUUACAUGUCAGUUGUACAAAGUUAAGGAGACAACAAGGUCAUGGUUUCCGAGGGCUACAUUUCUGCACCAUUUGGAGAUAAUAGUGCUUCUUCUUCUACUGCUGAAUAUACAAAAGGCUGCAAAAAGCUUUUCCUGUAAACCAGAGUAAUUUACCCAAAUUUGAUUCAUCUCAAUUUGGUCAAUGAGUCUGGCUCUGAAGGUGGUUCAAAGAAGCCUGCUGAGAAUGGAUUUAUGACAUGAGGUGGCUGUAAUAGCUCAAGCAGUAGAGCAUGAAGACAAUCAUGGCAUUGAAGAUGAAAGGAAGGUCUUCAAAAACACCACAGAAGAAGUAAGUCACAAGAUUCAAACACCACAGAAAAAGUAAGCGACAAGACUUGAAAGUGACGACUACAAUGUAAGAAGAAAGCUAAAGAAGUAUUUGUAAUGAGAAGAUUAAGAAAGUUUCUACGGUUUUGUGUGUCCCCGAGGAUUCAGUUUGAUUUGUUUUGUUUUCGUUACCAAAAUGCUAUUAUCAUACUGGUGCAUUUAG